GGGGUUGUAACUCAGUUGGUAGAGUGCCUGCCUGAAGAGCAGAUGGUCGGUGGUUCGAGUCCACCCGGCCCCACCA
Molecule: transfer RNA, 76 nt
Filed under: Staphylococcus haemolyticus
Lineage: Bacteria; Bacillati; Bacillota; Bacilli; Caryophanales; Staphylococcaceae
Also listed under: 4 other names
Description: tRNA-Phe
Rfam family: tRNA
About the family: Transfer RNA (tRNA) molecules are approximately 80 nucleotides in length. Their secondary structure includes four short double-helical elements and three loops (D, anti-codon, and T loops). Further hydrogen bonds mediate the characteristic L-shaped molecular structure. tRNAs have two regions of fundamental functional importance: the anti-codon, which is responsible for specific mRNA codon recognition, and the 3' end, to which the tRNAs corresponding amino acid is attached (by aminoacyl-tRNA synthetases). tRNAs cope with the degeneracy of the genetic code in two manners: having more than one tRNA (with a specific anti-codon) for a particular amino acid; and 'wobble' base-pairing, i.e. permitting non-standard base-pairing at the 3rd anti-codon position.
Source: RNAcentral